This 1363-nucleotide ribosomal RNA is filed under the name uncultured bacterium. RNAcentral describes it as "bacterial SSU rRNA". It matches the Rfam family "Bacterial small subunit ribosomal RNA". The record is from RNAcentral.
CCCUUAGAGUUUGAUCCUGGCUCAAGAUGAACUCUGGCGGCGCGCCUAACACAUGCAAGUCGAACGAGUGAGAGAGAGCUUGCUUUCUCAAGCGAGUGGCGAACGGGUGAGUAACGCGUGAGGAACCUGCCUCAAAGAGGGGGACAACAGUUGGAAACGACUGCUAAUACCGCAUAAGCCCACGGGUCGGCAUCGACCAGAGGGAAAAGGAGCAAUCCGCUUUGAGAUGGCCUCGCGUCCGAUUAGCUAGUUGGAGAGGUAACGGCCCACCAAGGCAACGAUCGGUAGCCGGACUGAGAGGUUGAACGGCCACAUUGGGACUGAGACACGGCCCAGACUCCUCCGGGAGGCAGCAGUGGGGAAUAUUGCACAAUGGGGGAAACCCUGAUGCAGCGACGCCGCGUGGAGGAAGAAGGUCUUCGGAUUGUAAACUCCUGUUGUUGAGGAAGAUAAUGACGGUACUCAACAAGGAAGUGACGGCUAACUACGUGCCAGCAGCCGCGGUAAAACGUAGGUCACAAGCGUUGUCCGGAAUUACUGGGUGUAAAGGGAGCGCAGGCGGGAAGACAAGUUGGAAGUGAAAUCUAUGGGCUCAACCCAUAAACUGCUUUCAAAACUGUUUUUCUUGAGUAGUGCAGAGGUAGGCGGAAUUCCCGGUGUAGCGGUGGAAUGCGUAGAUAUCGGGAGGAACACCAGUGGCGAAGGCGGCCUACUGGGCACCAACUGACGCUGAGGCUCGAAAGUGUGGGUAGCAAACAGGAUUAGAUACCCUGGUAGUCCACACCGUAAACGAUGAUUACUAGGUGUUGGAGGAUUGACCCCUUCAGUGCCGCAGUUAACACAAUAAGUAAUCCACCUGGGGAGUACGACCGCAAGGUUGAAACUCAAAGGAAUUGACGGGGGCCCGCACAAGCAGUGGAGUAUGUGGUUUAAUUCGACGCAACGCGAAGAACCUUACCAAGUCUUGACAUCCCUUGACGAACAUAGAGAUAUGUUUUCUCUUCGGAGCAAGGAGACAGGUGGUGCAUGGUUGUCGUCAGCUCGUGUCGUGAGAUGUUGGGUUAAGUCCCGCAACGAGCGCAACCCUUACUGUCAGUUACUACGCAAGAGGACUCUGGCAGGACUGCCGUUGACAAAACGGAGGAAGGUGGGGAUGACGUCAAAUCAUCAUGCCCUUUAUGACUUGGGCUACACACGUACUACAAUGGCGUUAAACAAAGAGAAGCAAGACCGCGAGGUGGAGCAAAACUCAGAAACAACGUCCCAGUUCGGACUGCAGGCUGCAACUCGCCUGCACGAAGUCGGAAUUGCUAGUAAUCGUGGAUCAGCAUGCCACGGUGAAUACGUUCCCGGGCCUUGUACU